GUCAGAGCAUCAAAGAAAAACCAGAGAGGCAUGGGGCAGGGAGCAGCGGGCCUUGGAAACCACUGAAUAUAAACCCCUUGGUUUACAGAUGAGGAAACUGAGGCAGAGGCCAAGAUCUGCUGCCCCUGCUCUGUACCCCAGAAGGAUGACCCACGUGGAUUACACCUACAGUCCCUCUUGCUUCCUCACGGCUCAACGAUGGGGAGCACCAAAGGGACAUGGGAGGGAGGGAGGAGACUUGGACCAGGGUACUUGUUGCCUCUCUGCCUGUGCGGGGCCACCAGGCUGUGACCGAGUUCACAGCUCCUAUAGGCCAGCCCUCUCCACACAGCCCUGAGCCUCAGGCCAGAAGCAGUAACUCUGUUACCUGCUCUGGUGGGCUGAACCAUCCCUGUGCUGUCUCUUCAUCCUGAUCUCACCUUUGUAAAUUGUUCAUUUAUUAAACUCUCCUCAAAUUGC
This is a long non-coding RNA of Galeopterus variegatus (Sunda flying lemur), 459 nucleotides long. RefSeq lists it as uncharacterized. The record is from RefSeq and is a predicted model, not a curated record. NCBI's taxonomy places the organism in Eukaryota, Metazoa, Chordata, Mammalia, Dermoptera, Cynocephalidae. The transcript is spliced from 2 exons.